AAGUCGUAACAAGGUUUCCGUAGGUGAACCUGCGGAAGGAUCAUUAGAGAGAAAAACGCAUCAAAGCGCAUGAUUUAAUCUAUCACGCGCUUUCUUGCUAUUCUACUUUACACCUUUCACACUUGAACGCAUUGUGCAUUGGCCCCCUUAUUAAUCCUGGAAGUGGUUUGUCUCCGGACAGAGCUCUUUCAUUAUAUAUACGCGCUUCAUGUCUCGAAUGUCAAACAAAAACAAUAAUGAGUACAACUUUCAGCAACGGAUCUCUUGGCUCUC
Molecule: unclassified non-coding RNA, 273 nt
Rfam family: Eukaryotic small subunit ribosomal RNA (bases 1-46)